GUGAACGCUGGCGGCGUGCUUAACACAUGCAAGUCGAACGGUAACAGGAAGUAGCUUGCUACUUUGCUGACGAGUGGCGCACGGGUGAGUAAACUAUAGUUAAUGUGCCUCGAAGACUGGGAUAGCCACUGGAAACGGUGAUUAAUACUAGAUACACCUCUUUAGCUCAAGCUGAGGAGGGAAACGUUUUUUCGCUUCGAGAUCAGACUAUAUCCUAUCAGUUAGUUGGUGAGGUAAUGGCUCACCAAGGCAAUGACGGGUAGCGGUUCUGAGAGGAUGAUCCGCCACACUGGUACUGAGACACGGACCAGACUCCUACGGGAGGCAGCAGUGGGGAAUAUUGCACAAUGGACGAAAGUCUGAUGCAGCAACGCCGCGUGGAGGAUGACACUUUUCGGAGCGUAAACUCCUUUUAUAUGGGAAGAUAAUGACGGUACCAUAUGAAUAAGCACCGGCUAACUCCGU
This 465-nucleotide ribosomal RNA is filed under the name uncultured bacterium. RNAcentral's name for it is "bacterial SSU rRNA". It matches the Rfam family "Bacterial small subunit ribosomal RNA", at positions 29 to 506 of the family's 1533-position model. The record is from RNAcentral.